This 254-nucleotide ribosomal RNA is filed under the name uncultured bacterium. RNAcentral describes it as "partial 16S ribosomal RNA". It matches the Rfam family "Bacterial small subunit ribosomal RNA", at positions 524 to 776 of the family's 1533-position model. The record is from RNAcentral.
GACGUAGGGCGCAAGCGUUGUCCGGAAUUAUUGGGCGUAAAGAGCUCGUAGGCGGCUUGUUGCGUCGACUGUGAAAACCCGUGGCUCAACCAUGUGGUCUGCAGUCGAUACGGGCAGGCUAGAAUUCGGUAGGGGAGACUGGAAUUUACGGUGUAGCAGUGAAAUGCGUAGAUAUCGGGAGGAACACCGGUGGCGAAGGCGGUUCUCUGGGCCUUACCUGACGCUGAGGAGCGAAAGCAUGGGGAGCGAACAGG